RNAcentral lists this transfer RNA (73 nucleotides) under Loxodonta africana (African savanna elephant). It matches the Rfam family "tRNA". From Rfam's summary of the family: Transfer RNA (tRNA) molecules are approximately 80 nucleotides in length. Their secondary structure includes four short double-helical elements and three loops (D, anti-codon, and T loops). Further hydrogen bonds mediate the characteristic L-shaped molecular structure. tRNAs have two regions of fundamental functional importance: the anti-codon, which is responsible for specific mRNA codon recognition, and the 3' end, to which the tRNAs corresponding amino acid is attached (by aminoacyl-tRNA synthetases). tRNAs cope with the degeneracy of the genetic code in two manners: having more than one tRNA (with a specific anti-codon) for a particular amino acid; and 'wobble' base-pairing, i.e. permitting non-standard base-pairing at the 3rd anti-codon position. The record is from Rfam by way of RNAcentral. Lineage: Eukaryota; Metazoa; Chordata; Mammalia; Proboscidea; Elephantidae.
GGUGGCGUAGCGUAGUGGUUAAGUGCUAUGGCUGCUAACCAAAGGGUCGGCAGUUCAAAUCUGCCAGUUGCUC